AGCAGCCGCGGUAAUUCCAGCUCCAAUAGCGUAUAUUAAAGUUGUUGCAGUUAAAAGCUCGUAGUUGAAUUUCGGGAUCAAUUUAUCGGUCGUGCCUACGGUAUGAACUGGUACAAUUGGUUUCUCCCUUCUGACGAAGCAUGAUGCCAUUAAUUUGGUGUCGUGGGGAAUCAGGACUGUUACUUUGAAAAAUUAGAGUGUUUAAAGCAAGCAUUAGCUUGAAUACAUUAGCAUGGAAUAAUGAAAUAGGACGUUUGAUCCUAUUUCGUUGGUUUCUAGGAUCGACGUAAUGAUUAAUAGGGAUAGUUGGGGGCAUUAGUAUUCAAUUGUCAGAGGUGAAAUUCUUGGAUUUAUUGAAGACUAACUACUGCGAAAGCAUUUGCCAAGGAUGUUUUCAUUAAUCAAGAACGAAAGUUAGGGAUCGAAGACGAUCAGAUACCGUCGUAGUCU
Molecule: ribosomal RNA, 450 nt
Filed under: uncultured Glomeromycotina
Lineage: Eukaryota; Fungi; Glomeromycota
Description: SSU rRNA
Rfam family: Eukaryotic small subunit ribosomal RNA
Source: RNAcentral